AAACAGCAAUAAAUAGCGGAAAAGAAACUAACACGGAUUCCCCUAGUAACUGCGAGUGAAGCGGGAAAAGCUCAAAUUUAAAAUCUGGCGGUCUUUGAUUGUCCGAGUUGUAAUCUGGAGAAGCGUUUUCUGCGCUGGACCGUGUACAAGUCUCUUGGAACAGAGCGUCAUAGAGGGUGAGAAUCCCGUCUUUGACACGGACUACCAGUGCUUUGUGACGCUCUCUCAAAGAGUCGAGUUGUUUGGGAAUGCAGCUCAAAAUGGGUGGUAAAUUCCAUCUAAAGCUAAAUAUUGGCGAGAGACCGAUAGCGAACAAGUACCGUGAGGGAAAGAUGAAAAGCACUUUGGAAAGAGAGUUAAACAGUACGUGAAAUUGCUGAAAGGGAAACGCUUGAAGUCAGUCGCGUCUGCUAGUACUCAGCCUUCCUUCUGGUUGGUGCAUUUACUAGUUGACGGGCCAGCAUCAGUUUUGGUUGCGGGAUAAAGGUCAGAGGAAUGUGGCACCUUCGGGUGUGUUAUAGCCUCUGGUCAUAUACYGUGGCUGGGACUGAGGAUCUCAGCACGCCUUUAUGGCGGGGGUUCGCCCACCUUCGUGCUUAGGAUGCUGGCGUAAUGGCUUUAAACGACCCGUCUUGAAACACGGACCAAGGAGUCUAACAUGCCUGCGAGUGUUUGGGUGGUAAACCCGAGCGCGUAAUGAAAGUAAUAGUUGGGAUCCCUGUCGUGGGGAGCACCGACGCCCGGACCAGACCUUCUGUGACGGAUCCGCGGUAGAGCAUGUAUGUUGGGACCCGAAAGAUGGUGAACUAUGCCUGAAUAGGGUGAAGCCAGAGGAAACUCUGGUGGAGGCUCGUAGCGAUUCUGACGUGCAAAUCGAUCGUCAAAUUUGG
RNAcentral lists this ribosomal RNA (890 nucleotides) under Phlebiopsis flavidoalba. RNAcentral's name for it is "partial large subunit ribosomal RNA". It matches the Rfam family "Eukaryotic large subunit ribosomal RNA", at positions 38 to 914 of the family's 3401-position model. Lineage: Eukaryota; Fungi; Basidiomycota; Agaricomycetes; Polyporales; Phanerochaetaceae. The record is from RNAcentral.